Long non-coding RNA from Xiphophorus maculatus (southern platyfish), 1237 nucleotides. RefSeq lists it as uncharacterized. NCBI's taxonomy places the organism in Eukaryota, Metazoa, Chordata, Actinopteri, Cyprinodontiformes, Poeciliidae. The transcript is spliced from 5 exons. The record is from RefSeq and is a predicted model, not a curated record.
CUUCAGUGUUUACUGCAGUCUGAGGUGAACUCAAGCAGCACGCAUCCUCCCGGUAAUAACAAGACAGUCCCAAUGUAUUUCAUUUGGGCUCCAGCCUGUUUCGAUCUGAUCAAAUCAAAUCAAACCAUUGUGAUCGUUUCUGGAGUGGCUGUUUCUGCUGCUCUCUGCUGGACAUACAGAUGUGAGAAUGCUGAGCUGCAGAGAUCAAUAAAACAACUACAACAUGACAAGAAGCAGUUAAAUACAGAAAAUAAUGAGCUGAAGGGGGAAACUGGAGAAAAUACAAGGUGAGAAUGCUGAGCUGCAGAGAUCAAUAAAACAACUACAACAUGAAAAGAAGCAGUUAAAUACAGAAAAUAAUGAGCUGAAGGGGAAACUGGAGAAAAUACAAGGUGAGAAUUCUGAUCUAAAGAAGAAAAAUGAUAAACUACAAACCACAAUGAAAAACAUGAAAGGAGAACUGGAGAACCAGAAACAUCAACUUGAGGAAAAACGUAGAGAAGUUGAGAAUGAAAGGGAGAAAAAUAAAAACGAGCUUCAGUCAGAGGAAACUAAAAUAAGAGACGGAGAAAAUACUGAGGACAAAGAGUCAUUAUUAAGAAGAAAGGAGGAUCUCCUGAAGUCUCAGUGGAAACUGGAUGAGAACAAGAAACAUUGUGAAUGGCAGAUAUUAAACACAGAGAAACUGCUGGAACCGAUAGAGAUGCUGCUGUCAACACAAACAGAUAAAGAGGAGGAUGUUUAAAACAGCAUCUAGAGAAGAUCAUGCUAUAACUAACAACAACUACAGAAAAACUAUUAUAUUAACAAUAAUUGUUAUUUUACUUUCUGAGUCUUCCUGGAAUUAAAAUUGUUUUUAGAAAAAAUAAUAAAUCCAAUUCAGACAAGGUAAACAGCAAAGACCACCUUUGUUUUCUGAAUGGAACCGACAUCCAUCCAUCCAUCCAUCCAUCCAUCCAUCCAUCCAUCCAUCCAUCCAUCCAUCCAUCCAUCCAUCCACCCACCCAUCCACCCAUCCAUCCAUCCCUAGUUUUGAUCAAUUGGAUUUUAUUAUUAUCAUUUAGGUCUGUCAGUAUUAGUUGAUUUAAUUGGUUUAAGUUUCAGAUCUAUUUCUUGAAAUUAACUAUUGUGAUUUUUAAUGUUCUUUGUAAUAAAAACAUAAAUAAACACAGAAACUCCAUACUAGGAAUUGUGUACUUUUCAAUGUGCAAAUGUCUGUAUUGAAUAAAAAUAAUAA